AAUGCAGCAGAAGGAACGGAGGCACCGUUCUCAACCUCCUCUCUUUCUCCCUCCUGCGGUGGCUGCGAGUACGAGGCACCGUCGAAUGUCUGACGAAUCAACGCCGACCGCCUCCGCAAAGCAUUCUUUGUCGUGGCGGCGCAGUCUCACCAGGGUAACAAGCCUCUCCAGUUGUUCGUCAAGGAAAAUGCCUAAAUUCCUCGGUAUCUUGAACAGUUUCGAUCUGUCGAUUUUGGCUAUUUGAGCCUUGUUGAUUCUUCCGUGACAAAGAGGGUUGGUAUGCUGAAACAUAUGGCAAAGAUAAGAAUGGUCAUACAAUGCUCUCCCAAAGGUUCUUGGAUGGCUUGCCCUACAGUGAGUGAGUUGACAGAAAUUAUUUAAGUCUGUUUGUCAUGCAUUUUGGCUUGGUAAACUGCUCACAGGAAUAAAUGUGAUGGAAGAAGUAUAUGUCCCUGCCUCCCUGGUCAUGCAGCAUCAUGUUGAAGUUUGUGUCAUGGUCAUAUUCUUAUUAUAAGUUGUUAAUCUGGUAGCAUUAUAAAUAUAUAAUAAUAUAUUGCAAAGGGUGCUACAAGAAAACCCUUAAUUUUUCUUUUACUUUUACAAUUUGUUAUAGAUGUUUUUUUCAAGACAUGCUAAUUAUAGAUGUAAUGGAUUUCUUGCCGGACCAAUUUGACAUGAUAGAUUUAUCUGCCAAUGAGAUUGCCAAACUUGAAAAUGUUCCAUAUCUUAACCGGUUGGGUCUAGAAUUAAUCCCAACAUUGGAGGUAUGGUUUGAUGUGGUUUUCUGGAUUACAGUGCCAUUUGUAUUGUAGAAUUUUUGGAAAAUUACACUGACUAGUUCUCACAAACAACAGAAUUGUAAAGUUGGUAGAAAUUGAUCCUUUAGCAGCAUCCAUUCCAAAGUUGCAGUUCCUUAGUCUGGUAGACAACAAUAUUAUGAAGUAAGAAAAUUAAAGGCUUUUAUGUUGUUGACAAGAUGAAAUCCCUCCGAGUUUUGGAUUUCAAGAAAGUGAAAAAUAUGGUAAUAUUUUCCCUUG
This is a non-coding RNA of Cajanus cajan (pigeon pea), 1037 nucleotides long. The record is from RefSeq and is a predicted model, not a curated record. NCBI's taxonomy places the organism in Eukaryota, Viridiplantae, Streptophyta, Magnoliopsida, Fabales, Fabaceae.